This 279-nucleotide ribosomal RNA is filed under the name uncultured bacterium. RNAcentral's name for it is "partial 16S ribosomal RNA". It matches the Rfam family "Bacterial small subunit ribosomal RNA", at positions 9 to 286 of the family's 1533-position model. The record is from RNAcentral.
GAGUUUGAUCUUGGCUCAGGACGAACGCUGGCGGCGUGCUUAACACAUGCAAGUCCGAGCGGUGACCCUCCUUCGGGAGGUGAUCAGCGGCGAACGGGUGAGUAACACGUGGGCAACCCUGCCCCUAACACUGGGAUAACCUCGGGAAACCGGGGCUAAUACCGGAUACGACCUCGAGCGGCAUCUCUUGAGGUGGAAAGCUCCGACGGUUAGGGAUGGGCCCGCGGCCUAUCCAGCUUGUUGGUGGGGUAAUGGCCUACCAAGGCGACGACCGGGUAG